CGAAAGCCUGACGGAGCAACGCCGCGUGUGGGAAGAAGGCUCUUGGGCUGUCAACCACUUUUCUCAGGGAAGAAGUCCUGACGGUACCUGAGGAAUCAGCCUCGGCUAACUCCGUGCCAGCAGCCGCGGUAAUACGGAGGAGGCAAGCGUUAUCCGGAAUCAUUGGGCGUAAAGCGUUCGUAGGCGGCUGUUCAAGUCUGCUGUCAAAGACCGAGGCUCAACCUCGGGUCGGCAGUGGAAACUGGAUAGCUAGAGGUCGGUAGGGGCAAAGGGAAUUCCCAGUGUAGCGGUGAAAUGCGUAGAUAUUGGGAAGAACACCGGUGGCGAAAGCGCUUUGCUGGACCGAACCUGACGCUGAGGGACGAAAGCUAGGGGAGCG
Molecule: ribosomal RNA, 379 nt
Filed under: uncultured cyanobacterium
Lineage: Bacteria; Bacillati; Cyanobacteriota
Description: bacterial SSU rRNA
Rfam family: Bacterial small subunit ribosomal RNA
Source: RNAcentral